RNAcentral lists this ribosomal RNA (605 nucleotides) under uncultured bacterium. RNAcentral describes it as "bacterial SSU rRNA". It matches the Rfam family "Bacterial small subunit ribosomal RNA", at positions 240 to 856 of the family's 1533-position model. RNAcentral also lists the same sequence under 1 other name. The record is from RNAcentral.
AUUAGCUAGUUGGUAGUGUAACGGACAACCAAGGCGAUGAUAGGUAGCCGGCCUGAGAGGGUGGACGGCCACAAGGGGACUGAGAUACGGCCCUUACUCUUACGGGAGGCAGCAGUGGGGAAUAUUGGACAAUGGAGGUAACUCUGAUCCAGCAAUUCUGUGUGCACGACGAAGGUCUUCGGAUUGUAAAGUGCUUUAAGUUGGGAAGAAAAAAAUGACGGUACCAACAGAAUAAGCGACGGCUAAAUACGUGCCAGCAGCCGCGGUAAUACGUAUGUCGCAAGCGUUAUCCGGAAUUAUUGGGCAUAAAGGGCAUCUAGGCGGGGUUUCAAGUCGACGGUGAAAACUACGUGGCUCAACCAUUAGCUUGCCGACGAAACUGAAAUUCUAGAGUAUUGGAAAGGUGGGCGGAACUACAUGAGUAGAGGUGACAUUCGUAGAUAUAUGUAGGAAUGCCGAUGACGAAGGUAGCUCACUGGACACAAACUGACGCUGAAGUGCGACAAGCUAGGGGAGCAAACAGGAUUAACUAUCCCUGGUAGUCCUACACUGUAAACUGAUGUUCACUGGGUGUGGCCGAGUAGCUCGUCUGUGCCGAAGCCAUA